This 275-nucleotide unclassified non-coding RNA is filed under the name Hevea brasiliensis (rubber tree). Lineage: Eukaryota; Viridiplantae; Streptophyta; Magnoliopsida; Malpighiales; Euphorbiaceae. The record is from RNAcentral.
AAUUAAAAGCCAGAAUUUGUUGCCUUGAGUAGCUAGGGACUAAAAUAAAUUAUGGGUGCCAUUUACGGUGUAGUUAAGGCACUGUGAAUAAGAGAAUGAAUGUCUUCACCCUUAUAUAUUUGGAAGUCAUGUUUGCUCAAUUAUAUUGCUUAUUUGACCACAGUUGAUCCAGGAUUGAAUUCAACUACCUGACAAAAGGUGGGUUAUUUAGGGUCUUUAAGAAUGCUAGGUCUCUUUAUGCUAAAAUGAGUAAGACAAGGGAAAAAGAAGAAGGA